Molecule: RNase P RNA, 321 nt
Filed under: Chelydra serpentina (North American snapping turtle)
Lineage: Eukaryota; Metazoa; Chordata; Testudines; Chelydridae
Description: Nuclear RNase P (ENSCSRG00000012366.1)
Rfam family: Nuclear RNase P
About the family: Ribonuclease P (RNase P) is a ubiquitous endoribonuclease, found in archaea, bacteria and eukarya as well as chloroplasts and mitochondria. Its best characterised activity is the generation of mature 5'-ends of tRNAs by cleaving the 5'-leader elements of precursor-tRNAs. Cellular RNase Ps are ribonucleoproteins.
Source: RNAcentral
UCAGAGGGAAGCUCACCGUUGAGGUCACAUGCAGGGUGCUUGUCACUCACUAUUCAAUGCCUCAGGGAAGGUCUGAGACAGGAGCCAUUAGCUGCCCUUGCAGGGCAUCACCUGCUGUAGGUGAAUGAGUUAUCAGCUAUGUUGGGCCCUGGUUUGGGGGACACAUGUGACAGGAGAAACCAGAGGGGGGAUGCUCCCCUGGCAGAUGCACAUUCUCCCCAAGGGCUUUGGGACAGGCUCAUGGCUGGCACUCCUGAGCUCAAUGGGAUGAGGUGAGACCUCCCAGGCCUCAUAACCCAACUCAGACUACUCUCCCUCUGA